This 709-nucleotide long non-coding RNA is filed under the name Salmo salar (Atlantic salmon). Its description in RNAcentral is "lncRNA (ENSSSAG00000120996.1)". The record is from RNAcentral. Lineage: Eukaryota; Metazoa; Chordata; Actinopteri; Salmoniformes; Salmonidae.
UGUAGUUUUUCCAAGGUGUACCUCAUUAGAAAAGUAGUCUUGAUGCACGUGUGAAUGAGUUCUCCCAAACACAUACUGCCAGAACACAUUAGUAAUGAGCUGUCCAAGCCUCAGAAGACAUUCGAAGCCAGUGAUCAAGCAACUCCUGCCUAAAUGGAUAAUGGAAACACUUCAACCACUUUUUAUUCAACAUUUUUUUUAAUGUGUUUCAUUCGUUCCAGCUGUUUUUAUCAACAAGACAGUUCAUUGGAAACACCUUAGAAGAUUUAUCCUCAUUAAUCUGGUUGGAAGCACCUGGCCCUGCUCAUAAACAAUGUGGAGUUUGAUGAUGACAACAUGCUGAGGAGAGUGGUGGAGAAGGACUAGGUGAACAUGGACACACAGGAACCUGUCUGGCCAGGUACACAAGGGGUCAUGCAUCGCUUUGAACAAGAUCCCAAACCAGAUGUCAACCACUCUAACAAAGGACUUCCCGGGCCUCUGAGAAUCAAAAACAGAUAUCAACCACUCUAACAAAGGACUUCCCAGGCCUCUGAGAAUCCCAAACCAGAUGUCAACCACUCUAACAAAGGACUUCCCGGGCCUCUGAGAAUCCCAAACCAGAUGUCAACCACUCUAACAAAGGACUUCCCGGGCCUCUGAGAAUCCCAAACCAGAUGUCAACCACUCUAACAAAGGACUUCCCAGGCCUCUGAGAAUCCCAAACCAG